AAUUAAGACAGACAUAAUUGACGGAUGGUCGUAUCCAAUGGUUCGGGUCAGUUCGAUCUAAUCAUCCAACUACAAUUGAUAAGAUUAGACUAGGAUAUAGAUCGUUCAAAAUAGAUUAAGGGUAAUCAAAUCAGUAGUAUCUAACAAGAGUUAAGGUGGAGGUCGGUAUGUUGUCUGAUAAUCAGAGGUCAGUUCGAUCAAAUAACUUUAUUUAAUCAAGAUCACUUAAGAACUUAAGAUUCAUGGAUUCGAUAAAGACCAAUAAAAAUUAGAUUUGAUAGUGCUUGACAAAAGGCUUAGUGUCAAACUGUCUGACUAAUAAGGUGAUUCGAAAUCUCUCUAUCAGAUCCACUCGGAUUCAAAGGAAUAAGGCUCGAACCCUUCACUAGAUUCAUAAAUCAAGUAGAGAG
This 410-nucleotide long non-coding RNA is filed under the name Elaeis guineensis (African oil palm). Its description in RNAcentral is "long non-coding RNA (EGUI_LNC018302)". Lineage: Eukaryota; Viridiplantae; Streptophyta; Magnoliopsida; Arecales; Arecaceae. The record is from RNAcentral.